Long non-coding RNA from Mercurialis annua (annual mercury), 478 nucleotides. RefSeq lists it as uncharacterized. Lineage: Eukaryota; Viridiplantae; Streptophyta; Magnoliopsida; Malpighiales; Euphorbiaceae. The record is from RefSeq and is a predicted model, not a curated record. The transcript is spliced from 2 exons.
UUAGCCCUUGCCUGUUCCGUUUGCUGUAAGGCGUCCAAAUGCCCACUUCUCCGAUGAAUAUCUGUACAUAUAUAAACCUCAGCUCUCUUCAUUUGUUUCUCUACCAAAUAUUUUUCUCUAUUCACUGCUGAUUUUGGCUCCAGAAAAGAAAUACUUCAAUUAAUUACUCAUAAUUUCUACAUUGUCUGCAUUGAAAUUCCUAAUUUCUAUAAAUAUAUACUCCACAUUAGAGCAGCGAUUGAUGCCAAUUUCCCACCUUCUAUUGGAAUCAUCAUCGUCUCAUUGCUUAUGAAGUCUAAUAUCAUUAGAUAAGUUUUUUGUUUCAAACUUCAUUAGUACUUUUAAUAUACUCUGAAGAUAUUGGAAUAAAAUAAUGUGGGCCACCAAUGAAUACGAUAUUUAAUAAAUAAUUUUGCAGACAACAUAAUAUAUAUGCUAAUUAAGCAGUAUCAGAAUUUAAUGGGUAAUUAAUUCUUAA